ACAACUUUCAACAACGGAUCUCUUGGCUCUCGCAUCGAUGAAGAACGCAGCGAAUUGCGAUAAGUAAUGUGAAUUGCAGAAUUCAGUGAAUCAUCGAAUCUUUGAGCGCACCUUGCACCCUCUGGUAUUCCGGAGAGUAUGCCUGUUCGAGUGUCGUGAAGUUCUCAACUUGCCUGCUUUGCGGCGGACAAGCUUGGAGUUGGAGCCCUGUCGGCGAGAGUCGACUGCUCUGAAAUGCAUUAGCCAUUACCUCUCUGUCGGCUCAAGCGUAAUAAAUCUUUGUUCGCUAGGUCGAUCCCGGAGGGGCCACGGCUUCUAAAGCACACUGUUUUUCACCUUUGACCUCGAAUCAGGUAGGACUACCCGCUGAACUUAAGCAUAUCAAUAAGCGGAGGAAAU
RNAcentral lists this ribosomal RNA (399 nucleotides) under uncultured fungus. RNAcentral describes it as "eukaryotic LSU rRNA". The stretch from base 3 to 156 matches the Rfam family "5.8S ribosomal RNA". Lineage: Eukaryota; Fungi. The record is from RNAcentral.